CUGUGAAACUGUGCAUUGCAAAGCGAAUGAUAGAAAGUGCGAACUCUAAGUCCAAUCACUCGUUUGUUGCUAUAUGAAUGUUUUCUAAGAAUGGCAAUGAGUGUAUUGUUCAAAGAGUUUCGUUCUUGUGCAACACCUGUGAAUUUUGGUGAUCAUUGAGAGAAUAAGUAUUUUCUAAAUACUUGUUGUUCAUUGUGCUUUUGCAUUUUGCAUAACAGCGGACGUGACUGGUGUUUAUUGAUUACUUGGUAUGAUGAAUUCCUCUUUACGGUUUACGUAGAGAAAGAAUUAUCAAGUUGAAUUGGUGCAUGAACUUUAAUAUCUGUCAUCUGAACCGUCUUGAAACACGGACUAAGGAGUUCAACUUGAGCGCAAGUCGACUAUGUGAAUAAAGUCUGGGGCAAAGUGAAAGCAAUUGUAUUCAUGUUAACGGAAAUUCAACUCGAAUUACGGUUAGCACAUGAUCUGGGUAGCAAUUUCUUAAUUGCUUACUGCAACAGAGCGCUUUGGUUAUGACCCGAAAGAUGGUGAACUAUGCCUGAUUUGGAUGAAGCCAGGGGAAACCCUGGUGGAGGUCCGCAACGAUUUUGACGUGCAAAUCAAUCGCCAGAGUUGGGUAUAGCGGCGAAAGACUAAUCGAACCAUCUAGUUGCUGGUUCCGUUCGAAGUCUCUCUCAGGAAAGCUGGUGCGGAAAUUUACUUGUAUCUGGUAUAGCUAAUGAUUGGAGGGUACGGAGUUGCUUAAACUUCGACCUACUCUCAAACUUAAAACAGAUACGAGUUCAUUGUUGCUAUUGAUAGCAGUGAACUGCAAUAUAUCGCGCCUUGUGGGCCAUUUUUGGUAAGCAGAACUGGCGCUGUGGGAUGAACCGAACAUUGCGCUAAGGUGCCAGAUUGUCUCUCAUCAGAUUCCAUAAAAGGUGUUAGUUGAUAUUGACAGCAGGGCAGUGGCCAUAAAAGUCGGCAUCUGCUAAGGAGUGUGUAAUUACUCACCUGCCGAAUCAACUAGCCCUGAAAAUGGAUGGCGCUUGAGGCACACACCUAUGCUCAAUCAUCGAUCUUGUAAUUGUUGUUACUCAUGUUUGUUAUGAUCGAUGUGUAGAACGGCAAAGUCGUUGGCAUCGAAGCGUGGGGUGUGAACUCCUGCUGAGCCAACGCUUGUGUAGAUCUUGGUAGUAGUAGCCAUCAUUCAAAGGAGAACUUUGAAGACUGACGUGGAGAAGGGUUCCAUGCCAACAUCGAUUGAACAUGGUUCAGCCGAUCCUAAGCGAAUGUGAAAUCACGUGGAUAUCGCGAUGCUUCGGCUAUCGCACGCGAAAGGGAAUCGGGUUUAUUUUCCCGAGCUAGAGUGCAGACUUGCUGUCUUCUGAUGUUCCUCAUUGGAUUAUAGCAUUAGCGGUAACGCAUACCGACUCAGAGACACUAUGCGGCGCACGAGGAAGAGUUAUCUCUUCUUUGUUAGGUAAUAAUUNCCCUGGAAACGGGUUGUCCGGAGAGAGGGAUUAAUUGCCGUAAAGCCACGCGCUUCGUGCGUGGCAUCGUGUACGCUGUGUAGUUCUUGAAAAUCUGAGAACGUUAUUAAGUCUUGCCUCUGAUCGUACCUUUAUCCGCAACAGGUCUCCAAGGUGCGCAGCCUCUAGUUUUUGGGCUAAAGUAGACAAGGGAAAUCGGCAAAUUGGAUCCGUACCCUUGGUAAAAGGAUUGGCUCUGGCAACUGAGUCAGUCGGGCUGUUGAGAUAGAAUGACGACAUAGUAUGGAGUCGUGACGUGUCUUUUGAUGCUGACUGGCUUCAUCGCUACGUUCGUGUAUCAAAGGCUUCAGCUUUAUGACAUUCUUAUUCUUUCGAAUGGGUUUGUUCACUUGACUGACAUUGAACAGUUCACCCAGAACUGAUACGGACACAGGGNAAUCUAACUGUUUAAUUAAAACAGAGCAUUGCGAUUGCCGUCAUAGGUAUUGACGCAAUGUGAUUUCUGCCCAGUGCUCAGAAUGUUAACGUGGCGACAUCCACAUAAGCGCGAGUAAACGGCGGAAGUAACUAUGACUUUCUCGGGUAGCCAAAUGCCUCGUCAUCUAAUUAGUGACGCGCAUGAAUGGAUCAAUGAGAUUCCCGCUGUCCUUGUCUACAGCUCAGUGAAACCACAGCCAAGGGAACGGGCUUGGUAUUAGACGGCGGGGAAAGAAGACCCUGUUGAGCUUGACUCUAGUCAGUUACUGUGAAGAAGCAUGAAGGAUGUAGCAUACGUGGGACCGUUCGGGUUAAUGAAAUACCACUGCUUUCACUGUUACUUGACUUACUCGAUUGUUCUGUCGUCAGCAUUUUGCUGUUUGUCACGAAUUUAGUCUCUGUCUCUCGCUUGAUAUUGAUUUGAGCAGCUUCGAGUACACUCACUGAUUGGGAGUUUGACUGGGGCGGUACAUCUGUUAAAACCUAACGCAGAUGUCCUAAGGUGAUCUCAGCGAGAUCAGAAACCUUGCAUUGAGCAACAGGGCAUAAGAUCGCUUGACCUUGAUUUCUAGUCCGGAUAUUGACGAUGAAAGUCUGGCCUAUCGAUCCUUUUGAUUAUUACGAGUUUUGAGCAAGAGGUGUCAGAAAAGUUACCACA
RNAcentral lists this ribosomal RNA (2607 nucleotides) under Gymnorhadinorhynchus decapteri. RNAcentral's name for it is "eukaryotic LSU rRNA". It matches the Rfam family "Eukaryotic large subunit ribosomal RNA", at positions 386 to 2822 of the family's 3401-position model. Lineage: Eukaryota; Metazoa; Acanthocephala; Palaeacanthocephala; Echinorhynchida; Rhadinorhynchidae. The record is from RNAcentral.